This 465-nucleotide ribosomal RNA is filed under the name uncultured Bacteroidales bacterium. RNAcentral's name for it is "bacterial SSU rRNA". It matches the Rfam family "Bacterial small subunit ribosomal RNA", at positions 335 to 798 of the family's 1533-position model. The record is from RNAcentral. Lineage: Bacteria; Pseudomonadati; Bacteroidota; Bacteroidia; Bacteroidales.
UGCCUACGGGGGGCUGCAGUGAGGAAUAUUGGACAAUGGAUGGAAAUCUGAUCCAGCCAUGCCGCGUGAAGGAAGAAUGUCCUAUGGAUUGUAAACUUCUUUUGUAUGGGAGCAAUAAGGUCUUCGUGAAGACUGAUGAGAGUACCAUACGAAUAAGCAUCGGCUAACUCCGUGCCAGCAGCCGCGGUAAUACGGAGGAUGCGAGCGUUAUCCGGAUUUAUUGGGUUUAAAGGGUGCGUAGGCUGUUAUAUAAGUCAGUGGUGAAAUAUUCGGGCUCAACCGGGAUACUGCCAUUGAUACUGUAUAGCUGGAAUAUGGUUGCUGUGGGUGGAAUGUGUGGUGUAGCGGUGAAAUGCAUAGAUAUCACACAGAAUAUCGAUUGCGAAGGCAACUCACAAAGCCAUUAUUGACGCUGAUGCACGAAAGUGUGGGGAUCAAACAGGAUUAGAUACCCUUGUAGUCGUU